RNAcentral lists this ribosomal RNA (447 nucleotides) under uncultured bacterium. RNAcentral describes it as "bacterial SSU rRNA". It matches the Rfam family "Bacterial small subunit ribosomal RNA", at positions 355 to 825 of the family's 1533-position model. The record is from RNAcentral.
UCGGGAAUUUUGGGCAAUGGGGGAAACCCUGACCCAGCAACGCCGCGUGAAGGAUGAAGUAUUUCGGUAUGUAAACUUCGAAAGAAUAGGAAGAAUAAAUGACGGUACUAUUUAUAAGGUCCGGCUAACUACGUGCCAGCAGCCGCGGUAAUACGUAGGGACCAAGCGUUGUUCGGAUUUACUGGGCGUAAAGGGCGCGUAGGCGGCAUGACAAGUCACUUGUGAAAUCUCCGGGCUUAACUCGGAACGGUCAGAUGAUACUGCUUUGCUAGAGUGCAGAAGGGGCAAUCGGAAUUCUUGGUGUAGCGGUGAAAUGCGUAGAUAUCAAGAGGAACACCUGAGGUGAAGACGGGUUGCUGGGCUGACACUGACGCUGAGGCGCGAAAGCCAGGGGAGCAAACGGGAUUAGAUACCCCAGUAGUCCCUGAGCGGGCUGGCAAGGCGCAU